AUACUGAUCCAAAUGUGAUAGAAUUAACGUGAGUCGUCCUGUUGGAUUGGGUUGGUUAUGCUCAUUGAUUGUCCUAUCACUGUGCAGGUAUGUUUGGUGAUGUUGGUUAACUGUUAGUAGUGCGCUGUUUCAUAUUAGUAUUAUCUUUGUUUAGAGCUGAAGCUUGGGACAAACCUUGCGGCUGGUGCUUGGUUGACGUGGGUUCUUUUUGCAGUUUCAAUACAUGCGGUUUCCUGACGCUACAGACUUGUUGUCUCCCGUUGUGUGCUGUAUUACCAUUGACGUGAGCUCACGGAUGCACGCAUACGGUAUGUGGUUUUAAAGUUUGUUAGUGUUUAUUUAUAAAAGAGUGUGUUUUAUGUUAUUGUUAAUUGUAUUAUAGAUUGCGUUGCUGCGUAUCAGCGGUUCCUUGUUCUCCCCUGUGCACGUAUUUUACGCGGAUUGAUAGAACGAGCCCGCAGCUUUCUGGUUCACCGGUGCACUUAAUGGUAACGUGUGCUAGACAUCUGAUUCAACCGAUUUACAGUGGUAUGUGUUGGAAGUGAUAAUAAGCUGGCACUUGGGUUGGGCUGUCUGAUCUGUCUUUAUAUUUUAAAUUCACAGGUAGACUCGCGCCUAUAGGCCAUUAAAUCUCGUGCUGUCGGGGCUUCGUGGGAAUUAUCAUCCAGGGGCGCUGUUGCUUUGCCUGUCAUUUCGUACAUUUGUGGUGUUUUUCUUUGGUUUUGUUGUUUUUGUUGUAUGUUUGGUUGUAAAAUGUUUAUUCUUAUUUCUUUUGUUUAAUGUUCUUGGUUAAUUUAUUUUGUUGGUACAACCUUCUUAUAAUUCUUUAUUGUAUAUUAAGUUUAUUUUGUGUAUAAAAGAGGGAUUUAAUAUCCUUCUCCUUUCUUUUUGUUUGUUUCAUUAUAUUGUGAUUUGGUAUUUAUGGGUGAAAGGCAUGAUUAAGGGUUAAAAGUGCCUUCACAUCCCUUGCAUUGACGUGCUAGAUGUGGUGUGUUCGUGAAUUUACCAGUGAUUUUGUUGUGACUAUCCUCAAGUGUAACACACUAUCUCUUUGUUACAGGAGCUGAGUGCUGAAGGUGGGUGGAUUUUGGUGGUGGUGUUGCUUCACAAGUGCUGUGUGCAGUGGUGUGUGUGGGUGUGUGUGUGAGUGAGAGUGUUUCCACACAGGUGUAACCAAAUUGUGCUGUGCUGUGGAGGCCUAUUAGUGCCCUUACUCCCUCCUGUUGUGCCUCGGCUCCUGUACUUAUUCCUUUGCGGUGUCUGAGAAUGCAGGUCACCCAUAUUGCAUUUUAUUGAGUUUAUUCAUUUUUGUUUUCUAUUGUUGCUUCAGAUAUUUUAUCUUUAAUAAAAUUUCAUAAUUGUUUUA
Long non-coding RNA from Megalobrama amblycephala (Wuchang bream), 1366 nucleotides. RefSeq lists it as uncharacterized. The transcript has 2 exons. NCBI's taxonomy places the organism in Eukaryota, Metazoa, Chordata, Actinopteri, Cypriniformes, Xenocyprididae. The record is from RefSeq and is a predicted model, not a curated record.